GUUAGGAUGGCAGAGUCCGGUAAUUGCAAAAGACCUAAGCCCUUUCCAUCAGAGGUUCAACUCCUCUUCCUAAC
Molecule: transfer RNA, 74 nt
Filed under: Cynops pyrrhogaster (Japanese firebelly newt)
Lineage: Eukaryota; Metazoa; Chordata; Amphibia; Caudata; Salamandridae
Description: tRNA-Leu
Rfam family: tRNA
About the family: Transfer RNA (tRNA) molecules are approximately 80 nucleotides in length. Their secondary structure includes four short double-helical elements and three loops (D, anti-codon, and T loops).
Source: RNAcentral